RNAcentral lists this ribosomal RNA (253 nucleotides) under uncultured bacterium. RNAcentral's name for it is "partial 16S ribosomal RNA". It matches the Rfam family "Bacterial small subunit ribosomal RNA", at positions 524 to 776 of the family's 1533-position model. The record is from RNAcentral.
UACGUAGGGUCCAAGCGUUAUCCGGAAUCACUGGGCGUAAAGCGUGCGUAGGUGGUUUGUUAAGUGUGAUGUUAAAUCGUGGGGCUCAACCCUAUCGAUGCAUCGCAUACUGGCAGACUAGAGGGAAGCAGAGGCAAGUGGAAUUUGUAGUGUAGCAGUGAAAUGCGUAGAUAUUACAAGGAACACCAAUGGCGAAGGCAGCUUGCUGGGCUUCUUCUGACACUGAGGUACGAAAGCGUGGGGAGCGAACAGG